GUAACGGCGAGUGAAGCGGCAACAGCUCAAAUUUGAAAUCUGGCCUCUUCGGGGUCCGAGUUGUAAUUUGUAGAGGGUGUUUCGGGCGCGAUGCCGGUCUAAGUUCCUUGGAACAGGACGUCGUAGAGGGUGAGAAUCCCGUAUGCGACCGGCGAUCAAGCCCAUGUGAAGCCCCUUCGACGAGUCGAGUUGUUUGGGAAUGCAGCUCCAAAUGGGUGGUAAAUUUCAUCUAAAGCUAAAUAUUGGCCAGAGACCGAUAGCGGACAAGUAGAGUGAUCGAAAGAUGAAAAGCACUUUGGAAAGAGAGUCAAACAGUACGUGAAAUUGUUGAAAGGGAAGCGCUUGCAAUCAGACCGGUCCGGAGGCGAUCAGCCGCUGCUCGUUCAGCGGUGCACUCGCCUGCGAUCCGGCCAGCAUCGGUUUGGGCGGCGGGAUAAAAGGCCCGGGAAUGUAGCUUCUCUCGGGGAGUCUUAUAGCCCGGGUCGCAAUGCCGCCCGCCUGGACCGAGGACCGCGCUUC
RNAcentral lists this ribosomal RNA (519 nucleotides) under Sticta sp. 6 HL-2020. RNAcentral describes it as "partial large subunit ribosomal RNA". It matches the Rfam family "Eukaryotic large subunit ribosomal RNA", at positions 83 to 603 of the family's 3401-position model. The record is from RNAcentral. Lineage: Eukaryota; Fungi; Ascomycota; Lecanoromycetes; Peltigerales; Lobariaceae.